Molecule: long non-coding RNA, 2162 nt
Filed under: Mytilus galloprovincialis (Mediterranean mussel)
Lineage: Eukaryota; Metazoa; Mollusca; Bivalvia; Mytilida; Mytilidae
Source: RNAcentral
GUUGCGGUAUAACCCGGGUGACAAUUUUCACCCCCAUUUAGAUGGAUCUUAUAUCAGUGAGGAUGGAGACCGAAGUUAUAUGUCCGUACAGGUGUAUCUCAAUCAAGUAAGUAUACAUAUCUUAAUCUAUUGGUUUCCAUAUCAAAUCAAUUUACUUCUUAAUUAAGUGCAUAUAUUUGAUUAAAAUCGAAUUACAAUGAAAACAAGUAUUAGAAUGUAAAUAUAUGUACAUAUUUAGCUUGAACAUUGGUUAAAAUUAUUGUUGCAUGUGAUCUAUAAAGCAAAUUAUGUAAUAUAUUAAGCUGCACAUGGUACAGAUUAUACUAGAAAAUACAUUUUGUGUUAUUUAUCCCUUUUUUUUACACUAAGAAUUUGUUCGAUCAUUACUUUGGCAUCCUAAUGUUUUUUGUAGGCAGUUCCAAUUUUAUAAAUAAUCUAUUCUUACUGGGAAAUCAUACUUGUGAGAGUUCUCAGUAAAUCUUUAGAAAAACCGAUAUAUAUCAAACAAAUAUAUUUGUUUUUAGUAACAUGAUAUAUUGAUUGUGAUUUUACUGUAACAUUAAUUUUUUUCUGUGUUAUUUCAUUUUUUUGGAGGGAUACAUGUACAAUGUUAUUUACAAAAAUGUACUAAUCUUAUCAUUAUGGUUUAAUUGAUUUGUUGGUUGCUUAAAAUACUCUACUUUUUGGAGAAAAUGAAAUUGUGUAAAAACAUUGCAAAUAAAAUAGAAUGGAGUUGAUGGGUAUGAAACAAGAGAGCAAAUGAAGCUUGAGAAAAUCAAAUGAUUUAUUCACAACGGAAAAUAUAAAACAUUAGAUUAAAUGUGUACACUGAAUUACUAUGAACAUGGAAGUAAUAUUUCAAUAUUUCUUCCAUGCUAUGAAUAAUACUUUGCAGUAAAAUUAUAUUUAAGGUAUCUAUGAAUUUAAUUUUUUUGUGAGAUAUUAAAAUGAUCAUUAGUUCUACAUAACCGAGUCUUCAGUACAUAGAUAAACUGUCAAAAUGAGAUUUUCAUUUAUAAAAGUAGAAACUGUCAGAACAAAAAUGACUUUCUACAGAAAGCAUAAGGAGAUAACAUCUGUUUGGAUAAUAAGAAUUAUAAGUCUGAAAUUAAUCAUUUGUACUAAAUUUUGUAAAUAACUAUUGUUGCAGAAUUUCGAGGGUGGCAACACUACAUUUUUAUGCAUGUUGGAGGAAGAUAAAACAGAAAUUAUUCCACAAACAGGUAAUGAAAAUUGUCGCAUUGGCACUUAUACCACAUCUUCUUAUAUCUAAUAAUUAACAGGAAUAAUCUCAAACAAUAGUCAAAUGCAGUAAACAAAAAUCAAAUUGUUAAAAUGAAAAAUAGCAUUACAUCAGGCAAUUGAUAAGAAAAUACUUUGAAUUGGAGUAUCUUCCUUUGUCAAUAAUUGCUGUUAUAAGAGUUAUCUUCCUUUGGCCAUUAUUGUUUUUUUUUAGUUAUCUUCCUUUGUCCAUAAUUAUUGUUCUAGAGUUAUCUUUCUUUGUCCAUGAUUGUAGUUUUAAGAACAGGUAGCAUCAAACACUAUGUAUGACUUAUGAAGUUUCAAUAUCAUUUUUUUCUUGAGAAAUAUGGUUAUAAGCACAUACAUCAUUUUGUAACUUGAAUUUAGUGUAAUGGCAGAUAUUCAUCAUGACCCACACAUUUGUAAAAAUAGUUUUGCAUAAAAAAUUAAAACAUAUUCAUGCAGGAGUGUCUCCAAAAAUGAUAAUUUCUCACAAUAACUGAAAAUAAAUGGUGUGCAGAAAAAAAUGUUCUCUGCUUCCCCCAUUAUUGUUGUCCCCUAACUGUUAAACAUAUAUAUUUUAUUUUCAUAGAAGGCAUGUUCUUCUUUAACAAUUGGUUUUCUUUUUAAAUAUUAGAUACAUUAAGGAUAUUUCAUUUAGUUUGUUUAGAAACUUGUUACAAAAGACAAAGACAACUCUACACUUUUAUCACAUGAAGUAAACAUUCAAUGUAGUUUCUCAAAAAUAGAGGUAUUAUCACAUUUAUCAAUUUUUUCAUAUUUCUAGGUACAAUGUUGAUAUUUGAGCAUGAUAUCCUACAUGAAGAAAGUAUGUACUCCGUUCAGAUGUUAUGUACUCUGGUGAAACUAUACCAAAGAAAUCCAAGCUGUCGAGACUUUGUCAUCUCUUUAAAACUUGA